AUUUGAUUAGACAUAAGAUUCUUUGACAAAUUAAAAAAGUAAUUCUAUUAAGACUUUAUACUUUAAUUAGACUUCUUGCAUCUUUUCUUUUAAACUUCUCUUUUAAAAUGGAUCUUUCUUUAAUGACUCAGUGUAGUCUUGAAAUGAGUAUAAUAAAAUUGGGAUAGCUGGAAUUUGAGUUCAAAUCGAGGCGGCUCAAAUCCUGUGAGUUUGGAAGGCCACCGGCAAACUCAUCUUCUCUAACAAAAUUUUCCAUCUUUUGUGGCAAUUUUCUUCUUUUUUGGAGAUUUUUUGUCUUCUUCUUCGAUCUCUUAUGCUUUCCAAGUACUUCUACGAUGAUUUCAUCACCAACUUGUGAACUUUAUGAAUUCGAAUUGAGCUCCAACAAGCUGCUAUGCAAACCCGGUUUGAUUCGAAUCCUGAGUUAUCUGCAAAGUUGUAAAAUUGGCUAUCUCAGACUGGACGGUUAAGAAAUAUGGUGAAUAACACCGGGCCUAGCUUCCAACAAGGCUCAGCCCAAUAAUUAGCACCCAUGCUUGAUUUCUCACGUGGGCUUUUGAGAGCUUAUAUAAUUGAAUUCUAGACUGGCAGGUUUGUGAGUUAGCUUGCCUUGACUGAAUAUUGGCAUGGCAUUUGCUGAAAAGGUCAUGGGUUGUGUUCAUAUAUUGUCCUUACAAGAAACACUCCCAAUCGUUUGUGACGUUAUUUUAUGCUGAUUUCAACUGUUCUUUUUUUGAACAAUUUAAUAUAGCAGAAAGAAUUUCAAGUGCGAAAAUCAUAUAUCCUGUGUUGGAGUUUUUGAGGUAGCUUGGAAUAUUCAAUUCUAGUGGGUACGGGAGAUCCUUUUUUGACAUGUAACAGUAUCUGAUGAGGGCUCUCUUCUAUUUUGCUGAUCAGUAUCACAUUUUUAUAAUGGGCAAAGACAAUAAUAUUGAUCAGGUUUUCUGUACUCAGAUCUGUGCAUGUGCAUGUGCUUGUUUUUAUAUAUGUUGAAUGUGAAGGUCAACCAACAGAAAGUUUUCUUGGCUGAUAUUCAAUGUUGCUUGGGAUAAAUAUACGAAUAUCUUUCUGAGAUGUUGGUCGGGUCUUGACUAACUAGCAUUUCAAUUAUUUAGAGCUUUAAAGGGUUUUGGCUGUAACCCUUUGGCCCUUUAAGACUUGUAAGAGAAAAGGUUCCUAACACUUAAGAGAAACUGUUCCUUCCUCAGUUGCCUUUAAUAUGCUUCAAAAAGAAAUUUCUUGGCCUGAACAGAUGUAACUUUUGCCCAUUCACAAAUAUGAGUUAUCGAGAGCCUUUAAAGGCUGGCUGGACAUUAGUGAUGUUUCUGUGCUUGUUUUGAAGGGACAAAAACCUCCUGCUCAACUAAAAGUAUAGGGAAACCUUCCUUUUCACAGAUUGGUACAAAAUAUUGCUGUCUAGUAGUUAAAAUGUGGUUAUCUUUUCAUUUCUGAGUCCAGCUGGUGAAGUUGAAAGUCCAUGAAUGAUGAAUCUGUGUGUCUCUCUCACACACACACACAUGUAUAUGCUUUUCAUUUUCUGACUUUAUUUAUCUGAUGUUGCCUAGGGUUAGGUUUUGUUCUCUUUUUGUUAAUUUACUAUUAUUUCACUUCUUGCUGUUACAUGAUACCAUUUGAAGCAGAAAUUUCUGAAGCCUACCAAAAUUUGUGAUUUUAGAGCCCUCAUUUUGAUGAUCUGCCUUGCUUGAUUUCUCAUGAAAGUCCCCUGUCCCAAAUAGCUUGCAUAUUGAAUGUUAAGCUACGAGUUUGAGGUCAAUAAUUGAAUUGCGAAAUGGGGUGUGGCCAGUGGCCCCUCAAUGAUUAUGAUUUGUCGAAUUUACUUUGUCCUACAUAGAGUGCAUCAAUUAAUUACAUUUCUUUCAAAUGAGUUGGCCUUUGCAUUAAUUGUUGAUGAUUUUUACUGGAACUGUUUGGUUGGAAGCCGAUUAUAACAAGGACCCAUUUGGCAGGCAUACCUCCACUUACAGAAUCACUGCUCAUUGAACUCCAUGGAAGCCCUGCUUGCAUGUUCCAUGCUGUGAUCUUGAGCUGAUGAUUUCAUCUUCCACUACAUUGCAAGCUUUGAUUAUGAUUGAAACAAGCAUUUGCCUGGCCUGCGGAUUGUGAGCAGACUGGAGGACCCAUUUUACUUCUAAGUUGAAACAUGCCAAAAGGCUUUUUAGCCAAAUUAUAUAAUGUAUUGUGCACCAGCCAUGGUGCCCAGUCGACCUGUGUAAAAGUGCAAUGUGUUAUGCGGCUGUCCAUGGACUAAAUAUUUUAAAAUCCAUCUCUUUCUCACAGGGUUUUAGUGGAAAGUGUGCUGUAUUAUCCAGUUUUAUAAUUCUCAGUUGUUCUCAUUCGUCUCA
Mangifera indica (mango) is the source of this 2363-nucleotide long non-coding RNA. RefSeq lists it as uncharacterized. NCBI's taxonomy places the organism in Eukaryota, Viridiplantae, Streptophyta, Magnoliopsida, Sapindales, Anacardiaceae. The record is from RefSeq and is a predicted model, not a curated record. The transcript has 2 exons.